GUCGCAGUGGACUCUUGACGAAAGCAAUGGUGUUGCUACACAUCUUCCUUUGGGGCUGCUUGACAGAUUCGGUCUGAAGUAUGCCGUUGCCAGGACGGCUCCACUAUGACCAUCGCAAGACACAGUCGGGCAUUGCGUUGAUUCACUCGUGAAGAGGGCUUUUACCACCAUAUUGCCUCGUUGCUUCUGCUAAGGUUCGGCCUAGACUCUAUCCUUCUCUGAACGGUUCCAGCAUGACUGAUUCACGGUCGAGUGGGGCAUUUGGGAUUAGGCUUCUCGAGAUAACAACUGUUGCCACCAGAAUGCCUUGGUGAUUCUUCUCAG
Molecule: long non-coding RNA, 324 nt
Organism: Dermacentor albipictus
Lineage: Eukaryota; Metazoa; Arthropoda; Arachnida; Ixodida; Ixodidae
Source: RefSeq, a predicted model, not a curated record